This 528-nucleotide ribosomal RNA is filed under the name Triticum aestivum (bread wheat). RNAcentral describes it as "partial small subunit ribosomal RNA". The record is from RNAcentral. Lineage: Eukaryota; Viridiplantae; Streptophyta; Magnoliopsida; Poales; Poaceae.
AUGGAGACGGCGGCUGCUAGUCGGUCCAGCGGGCCAGUGCUGUCGACACCCAACUGCCGCUCCGCCUCACCCACCCCCGUCAAACUCGCCGGCGGCGGCGCCACCCACUCGCCGGGGCCGGGCAAAUCCGUCAGCGGCUCGUCCCCGUCCUCUACCAGGAGCCGGCGCUUCUGCACGUGCUCCCCGACGAACCACCCGGGCUCGUUCCGGUGCAGCCUCCACAAGGCGCGCAAGCAGGCGGCCGCCGCCGGCAGCAGCAAGCCCGCCUCCCCGCCGUCCAGCCGCGGUCUGGGCCCGAGGCGAAUGAACAGCCAGCAGUGCGCCCGCAGGGCCCUCGCGCCGUCCGCCGCGGCGCAGCAGUCGCAGCACCUGAGGCGCGCGGGCGGGUUAAUCCCCAGGACGAGCAGGCUCUCCACAAUGUCCACGGCCGGCGAGCGUCCCGGCGACACGCUGUACUUUAUCAGUUUGGUUGUGGAAGUUAGUGUAGAUUUUCUUGUUUGGUUGUGGAACCUCGCACGGGGAAUUUAA